AUUUCUGCCCUCUCAUGGCAUCACUUGGAGAAACCCCAACCACCCACUUUCUCCUGCCAAUACCUAAGCCACUGCUCACUGCCGGGAAAGUCACCCCAGGAAGACUGGUGCCACCAGAAGGCCUCCCCUGGAGUGGACCCUCGACACCCCAGGUCCCCCAUGUUCCUCCAGGGCCACUCUGCAGUGCUGCUCCCACACCUGGAAGCGAGGGCGACCUGUGUGGGCACAGCUCUUCUGCCUUCUGGAGCCUUCCCUCCAGCCUUAACACUCCCCACCAGCUCUUCCGCCAGGAGGCAGUGAUUUCUCUGAAAUGCAAACGAGACGUAGAAGGAGCCGCGACGGCUGUAACCUAGAUCCGCUCAGCGCAAGUUCGGGAGGUGCCGGCGGUGGGGUCCAAGGACAGCGGCUCCUCCAGCUGGGACCCCCGCGGGGCAGAGGGGAUCCUGGCCCUUCGUCCUGUCCCCGUCGAGGUCCGCGGUGGCCUUGCAGAGUCCCUCCCCGUCCGCGACGGCUCUCCCCUCACCCCAGCCCCCACCCCAUCCACCCUGCGCAGCCGCAGGGCCCCGGCUCCCCCGACUCAGGGUCAAGCAGGAGCCCCACUCCUGAGCCUCAAACCCUGCGCCAGGCAGCUGUCAGCCCACGCCGCCGGGCAGGCAGGCCUGGAGGUCACCCCCUCCCCCCACAUCUGCCCUACGGGACCCCCACCCACCGCUUUCCCCUUUCGGGGUGACGGCCGACCCGGGUACUAGGAGGGGCUACGCAGAAAUGCCCGCCCCGCCCCUGGCCGGAGGCUCCAGGCCCCCUCCCGUCUCCCCAGGGCCGCCGUGCGAUCUGCCCCCUCGGUGACACCUUCCACCUUCCACGCGGCCGCACCAUCUUCUCAAAAAAGUGGAUGGUUCCACAACGUGGAGGGACCAGGAGAGGUGCGCCCCCCUCGCCCGCCCCCUGGGGAGUCAGAGCGUUGCCAGGAGAGGCUCCUCCGGGAACGCGGGCUCGCAAUGGGCGCUGCCGGCUCGGGCUGGGCGCCUGUCUGGACCCUGGACGGCGCCCCUUUCCCUCCCCAACGCGGGUGUUUGGAGUCCCACACGGGCGAGGAACGCGGCGGACCCCGAGACCGGACUUUCUGGCGGAGGGGCGCCCACCCUUUGCGUGCGCUCCUCCCUUCCUCUCACCCCUCUCCACACCAGAGCCGGGGCUGCUGUCUGAGAUCCAGGCCGUGGUUUCUAGAUGGCCACCACCCAGCGCCUGGCGCGGUCGCACAGGUACAAAAAGCACCAGCUGAUCCGUUUGCGGCUGGACCAGCACCCACGCAGGACUCAGGCCAGCACGCGCUUUUGGAAAAGCAAUUCCACCAGAUCUCCUGGCCUUGGGCACACACACCCCUUCCGUUCCGGCAGGCACCAGGGGGGCUCAUGGC
This is a long non-coding RNA of Myotis myotis, 1417 nucleotides long. RefSeq lists it as uncharacterized. The record is from RefSeq and is a predicted model, not a curated record. The transcript has 3 exons. Lineage: Eukaryota; Metazoa; Chordata; Mammalia; Chiroptera; Vespertilionidae.